Molecule: long non-coding RNA, 2118 nt
Organism: Felis catus (domestic cat)
Lineage: Eukaryota; Metazoa; Chordata; Mammalia; Carnivora; Felidae
Exons: 3
Source: RefSeq, a predicted model, not a curated record
CUCCGCCGGGCCGCCUCGCCGGGUGCGCCGGGUGCCGGGGUUCGGGGGGGCCCCUUUUCCAGGGCCGGGAGGCCACCUGCCCCCUCCCAGGUGGGGACGAAAGCGAAAGUGAGAAAGCGACAGCUCUCCAAAGACCCAGUGCUUCCUCCAGGAGUACAAAUCCUGAGCUGACUUCCAGGGACAACUCAGAGCCCAGCGGGGAAGGUGCACGUGGACACAGAUGGCACCAGGCCCGCGCGGACUGAUCUAAUCCUCACACGGCCUGUGAGUCAGGACCGUCGUCAUCCCCUUCUACAAACGAGGAAACUGAAGGAGAGGAGGUUCCGUUACUCCCAGGCGCUUACACAGCUGGUCAGUGUCAGGGCCAGGUGGGAACUCGGUAAUCGGGCUCGAGGAUCCUUAACCGUGACCCUGUACUGGGUAUCACGGUAACAAGCAAGCUGCGCAAGGUCGCCACCUCGUAGAACUCACACUCUGGUGCCAGAAGACAGACGGGGGCAAGGCUCAGGUUGUAGGAUCAGAAAAACACGGUCCUCGCCGAGGAAAGAGCUGUCAGUGCAAUUCCACCCGGGCUCUGUGAUGGGCGGUGUGCCAGCCGCGGAAUGAGGAAACGCGGGGUCCCAGCAGAGGGCGGACUUGGAGGGGAGGCUGAGGUCAGUUCGGGGCACACUGGUGUGUGCGGCCUGUGGGACGUGCAGGGGGUGUCAUCCAGCAGACAGCCAAACCCGUGCAUCCACAUACAAGACACCUGCCUGGAGACCGGUCGGGAGGCGUCAGGACCGAGGCGACAGCUGGGGACGGGGUGAAGCACGGAGUCUGGACACCGACAGGGGAGGCCAAGGCCCAGGAAAGGACAGGAGUUUGUAACGGAAAAGACUUACAUUUAGUUAUGAUCAAAUACCUCUGCUCAUCCAAAGGGACCAUUUAAGGAGCGAAAAGGCAAGAAAGAAAAACUGGGGAAGACGUUUGCGAUUUGGAGCAAGAAUCCAGAUCGUACGAAGAAGUCACACGAUCGGUAAGAAAAGAGGAAGACAGAGGAAAGACCCAGGCGGUUGCUCAAAGUGAGGAAGUCGAAGACAACCAAUAAACAAAUGAGCGAAAAGGUGCCAAACGUCCUUAGUGUUCUGAGAAACGCCAAACAGAACCCUGACACAUCACAUACUCCACAUGCACGGAGCCACAAUAACAAGUGUCAGUGGUGCUGCGCAGCGACCCAAAUCCUCCCAUGUCGCCGGCGGAAAUGCGAACGGCCGGGGGCGCUUGGGGAAUUGGGGCAUGAUCUUGGACGGCUGAAGAUCCACACGCCCUGAGACCCCGGCCUCCACGCCUGAUCCGCACGCGCCCCGGAGGCACACGUGGAGGUGACUAAGAAAGCACUGUCGGACUAUCCCUGGGACAGACGAUGCCUGCAGUGGCUCCCAGGGACUCCCACCUCCCGCACUCCCGCCUCCUCGUUACCCCUCCUCUGGAUGUGCACCGGACCCAGUGACUUGCUUCUAGGUUACAAAAUAACGUGAUUUCCAUCUGUCCACACCUGCUCUCUGGCCCUGUCGCCUCCUCUCCCAGGAAACCGACUGCAGUGCACCCGCUGCCUGCCGACCGCAGUGCACCCGCUGCCCCGUGACCAGACCCACGUGGCAGGGGUGCAGGGGGCCUCUUGCCACCAGCCAGAGAGGGUCCGAAGUCCUAGUCCAACAGCCUGUGAGAAAGGAGUUUUGCCAACAACCCCUGAGUAAACGUGGAAGUGGAUUCAGUCCAGUCGAACCUGGAGACGAGACCACAACCCCGGUCAGCGUCUGGACUGCAGCCCGUGAGCAGCCGGAGCCAGGGGACCCGGGCGGGCCAUGCCCAGAGUCCGUGACACAAUACGUGUUGUUGCUUCGAGACGCUACGUUUGGGGAUAAGUUGUUACACAGAAAAAAUAACCAGUACAGUCACCAAAUUGGAAAUAACCCGAACGUCCAUCAACAGUAGGAUGGACAAGUAAACUGCACAUUGAUGAUGUCACGAAACGGAGCGUCCAACGUCGUCAAAAAGGAAUGGACUGGAAUUAUAUCCCACAACAUGGCUAAAACGCAAAAACAUAUGUGAGCGGAAAUAACAUGUAAUGUAGACAGA